UCACCUGUAGUAGAAGGAGUCAACGUAUCCUUAAGGGAAGAUAGAGUUUGUCUGUGUUUUAGGAUGCUCAUGCAAGAAAGGAAGUCCUAGACGAAGGAAUCGUGCUACCUUAAUUGACAUGCAAACGAGAGACUACGCGGAGUCUAGCAAUCCUAUGGGGAUACAACAAGCAAGUCUCAAAAGAGAACAACGAAACCGGAAAUGGAAUGCCAAUCGCUGGGCUUACA
Molecule: long non-coding RNA, 227 nt
Filed under: Lathyrus oleraceus (garden pea)
Lineage: Eukaryota; Viridiplantae; Streptophyta; Magnoliopsida; Fabales; Fabaceae
Description: Pisum sativum (pea) long non-coding RNA (PSAT_LNC009135)
Source: RNAcentral